UGUUAUUCUAGGGCUGCUGCUGCCCUUUU
RNAcentral lists this non-coding RNA (29 nucleotides) under Rattus norvegicus (Norway rat). The record is from RNAcentral. Lineage: Eukaryota; Metazoa; Chordata; Mammalia; Rodentia; Muridae.